CCUACGGGAGGCAGCAGUGGGGAAUAUUGGACAAUGGGGGGAACCCUGAUCCAGCCAUGCCGCGUGUGUGAAGAAGGCCCUCGGGUUGUAAAGCACUUUCAGUGAGGAAGAACGCCUGGUGGUUAAUACCCAUCAGGAAAGACAUCACUCACAGAAGAAGCACCGGCUAACUCCGUGCCAGCAGCCGCGGUAAUACGGAGGGUGCGAGCGUUUAUCGGAAUUACUGGGCGUAAAGCGCGCGUAGGUGGCUUGAUAAGCCGGUUGUGAAAGCCCCGGGCUCAACCUGGGAACGGCAUCCGGAACUGUCAAGCUAGAGUGCAGGAGAGGAAGGUAGAAUUCCCGGUGUAGCGGUGAAAUGCGUAGAGAUCGGGAGGAAUACCAGUGGCGAAGGCGGCCUUCUGGACUGACACUGACACUGAGGUGCGAAAGCGUGGGUAGCAAACAGGAUUAGAUACCCCGGUAGUC
Molecule: ribosomal RNA, 465 nt
Filed under: Vreelandella stevensii
Lineage: Bacteria; Pseudomonadati; Pseudomonadota; Gammaproteobacteria; Oceanospirillales; Halomonadaceae
Description: partial 16S ribosomal RNA
Rfam family: Bacterial small subunit ribosomal RNA
Source: RNAcentral